AGAGGGAUGGCAGAGCGGUCGAAUGCGGCGGUCUUGAAAACCGUUGAAGGUCACACUUCCGGGGGUUCGAAUCCCUCUCCCUCUG
This 85-nucleotide transfer RNA is filed under the name Shiella aurantiaca. RNAcentral's name for it is "tRNA-Ser". It matches the Rfam family "tRNA". Rfam says of the family: Transfer RNA (tRNA) molecules are approximately 80 nucleotides in length. Their secondary structure includes four short double-helical elements and three loops (D, anti-codon, and T loops). Further hydrogen bonds mediate the characteristic L-shaped molecular structure. tRNAs have two regions of fundamental functional importance: the anti-codon, which is responsible for specific mRNA codon recognition, and the 3' end, to which the tRNAs corresponding amino acid is attached (by aminoacyl-tRNA synthetases). tRNAs cope with the degeneracy of the genetic code in two manners: having more than one tRNA (with a specific anti-codon) for a particular amino acid; and 'wobble' base-pairing, i.e. permitting non-standard base-pairing at the 3rd anti-codon position. Lineage: Bacteria; Pseudomonadati; Bacteroidota; Cytophagia; Cytophagales; Shiellaceae. The record is from RNAcentral.